UCACUGUUUCAUUGAUUAUGGACUGAAUGACUGAGAACCCGAUGUUGUGUGUUGUCUUGUUGGCAUGAACUACUGGUUUGCAUGUUUGUGUGUGACUUGAUGACGGUGACUAAAGAAAAAGGGAUAAAAGGUUAUGUGAAUUGGCAAACGGAUAAUGUGGACAGCCUGACUAGGUAUCCUGGGAGAUGGUGGACGGACCGGGUCCGUAGGGAACCCUACCGGGAACGUGGUCUCUCAUACCAGACGGGGUAUGGAGACCUUAUGUGUUUUGGCGCCCAUACCGGAUGGGGUAUGGGGACGGCCCGUUUCACCCUCAUACCGGAUGGGGUAUUGAGGUUUAUAGUUUUGGUGCCCAUACUGGACGGGGUAUG
This 371-nucleotide long non-coding RNA is filed under the name Carica papaya (papaya). RNAcentral describes it as "long non-coding RNA (CPAP_LNC002993)". The record is from RNAcentral. Lineage: Eukaryota; Viridiplantae; Streptophyta; Magnoliopsida; Brassicales; Caricaceae.